UAUGACCAUAUCACUUUGAAACACUGGUUCUUGUCUGAUCACUGAGGUUAAGCAAUGUUCAGCCUGGUCAGUACCUAGAUGGGCAACUGCCUGGGAAAUACUGGGUGCUGUAAG
Non-coding RNA from Acanthosepion pharaonis, 114 nucleotides. The record is from the annotation of a GenBank genome assembly. NCBI's taxonomy places the organism in Eukaryota, Metazoa, Mollusca, Cephalopoda, Sepiida, Sepiidae.